RNAcentral lists this ribosomal RNA (19 nucleotides) under Saccharomyces cerevisiae (brewer's yeast). Its description in RNAcentral is "partial 26S ribosomal RNA". The record is from RNAcentral. Lineage: Eukaryota; Fungi; Ascomycota; Saccharomycetes; Saccharomycetales; Saccharomycetaceae.
GUUUGACCUCAAAUCAUGU